GGGGAUAUGGUGGAAUGGUAGACACAACAGACUUAAAAUCUGUCGAUUUAUGAUCGUGAGGGUUCAACUCCCUCUAUCCCCA
RNAcentral lists this transfer RNA (82 nucleotides) under Poterioochromonas malhamensis. RNAcentral's name for it is "tRNA-Leu". It matches the Rfam family "tRNA". From Rfam's summary of the family: Transfer RNA (tRNA) molecules are approximately 80 nucleotides in length. Lineage: Eukaryota; Synurophyceae; Ochromonadales; Ochromonadaceae. RNAcentral also lists the same sequence under 1 other name. The record is from RNAcentral.